AGUUUGAUCCUGGCUCAGAUUGAACGCUGGCGGCAUGCCUAACACAUGCAAGUCGAUCGGCAGCAGGUCCUUCGGCAUGCUGGCGACCGGCGGACGGGUGAGUAACACGUGGAAAUCUGCCCAUCGGUGGGGGAUAGCCCGAGGAAACUCGGAUUAAUACCGCAUACGCCCUUCGGGGCAAAGUAGACCUCUGAUUUAAGCUUACGCCGAUGGAUGAGCCCGCGNCCGAUUAGCUAGUUGGUGGGGUAAAGGCCUACCAAGGCAACGAUCGGUAGCUGGUCUGAGAGGACGAUCAGUCACACCGGAACUGAGACACGGUCCGGACUCCUACGGGAGGCAGCAGUGGGGAAUAUUGGACAAUGGGAGAAAGCCUGAUCCAGCAAUGCCGCGUGGGUGAAGAAGGCUUGAGGGUUGUAAAGCCCUUUCAGCAGGNAGGAAAAGCGNACGGUUAAUAUCCNNGCGUCUUGACGUUA
Molecule: ribosomal RNA, 473 nt
Filed under: uncultured prokaryote
Description: bacterial SSU rRNA
Rfam family: Bacterial small subunit ribosomal RNA
Source: RNAcentral